Molecule: ribosomal RNA, 144 nt
Filed under: Triticum aestivum (bread wheat)
Lineage: Eukaryota; Viridiplantae; Streptophyta; Magnoliopsida; Poales; Poaceae
Description: partial small subunit ribosomal RNA
Source: RNAcentral
CUUGAUGAAAUCAAGGUGUCCAGGGGCAUCGAUGACAGUGCAGUAGUACUUGGUGGUCUCGAACUUCCGCAGGGCAAUAUCAAUGUUGAUACCCCUCUCACGGUCAGCCUUCAGCUGGUCGAGCACCCACGCAUACUUGAAUGA